This 82-nucleotide transfer RNA is filed under the name Pohlia nutans. RNAcentral describes it as "tRNA-Leu". It matches the Rfam family "tRNA". Rfam says of the family: Transfer RNA (tRNA) molecules are approximately 80 nucleotides in length. Their secondary structure includes four short double-helical elements and three loops (D, anti-codon, and T loops). Further hydrogen bonds mediate the characteristic L-shaped molecular structure. tRNAs have two regions of fundamental functional importance: the anti-codon, which is responsible for specific mRNA codon recognition, and the 3' end, to which the tRNAs corresponding amino acid is attached (by aminoacyl-tRNA synthetases). tRNAs cope with the degeneracy of the genetic code in two manners: having more than one tRNA (with a specific anti-codon) for a particular amino acid; and 'wobble' base-pairing, i.e. permitting non-standard base-pairing at the 3rd anti-codon position. Lineage: Eukaryota; Viridiplantae; Streptophyta; Bryopsida; Bryales; Mniaceae. The record is from RNAcentral.
UACUCGCUUGGUGAAAAUGGUAAACACGGCAGUCUCAAAAUCUGUUCCUAUGGGUUAUCGGUUCGAAUCCGAUAGCGAGUAU